UGGGAUGUGGCUCAGUGGUAGAGCACUUGCCUGGCAUGUGCAAGAUUCUGAAUUGUUUAUCCCAA
This 65-nucleotide transfer RNA is filed under the name Heterocephalus glaber (naked mole-rat). It matches the Rfam family "tRNA". From Rfam's summary of the family: Transfer RNA (tRNA) molecules are approximately 80 nucleotides in length. Lineage: Eukaryota; Metazoa; Chordata; Mammalia; Rodentia; Bathyergidae. The record is from Rfam by way of RNAcentral.